GGGUAGGGGAGCGUUCUGUAAGCCUGUGAAGGUGGCCUGUGAGGGUUGCUGGAGGUAUCAGAAGUGCGAAUGCUGACAUAAGUAACGAUAAAGCGGGUGAAAAGCCCGCUCGCCGGAAGACCAAGGGUUCCUGUCCAACGUUAAUCGGGGCAGGGUGAGUCGACCCCUAAGGCGAGGCCGAAAGGCGUAGUCGAUGGGAAACGGGUUAAUAUUCCCGUACUUGGUGUUACUGCGAAGGGGGGACGGAGAAGGCUAUGUUGGCCGGGCGACGGUUGUCCCGGUUUAAGCGUGUAGGUGUGUGUUCCAGGUAAAUCCGGUUCACUUUAACACUGAGGCGUGAUGACGAGGCACUACGGUGCUGAAGCAACAAAUGCCCUGCUUCCAGGAAAAGCCUCUAAGCAUCAGGUAACAUCAAAUCGUACCCCAAACCGACACAGGUGGUCAGGUAGAGAAUACCAAGGCGCUUGAGAGAACUCGGGUGAAGGAACUAGGCAAAAUGGUGCCGUAACUUCGGGAGAAGGCACGCUGACACGUAGGUGAAGUGAUUUACUCAUGGAGCUGAAGUCAGUCGAAGAUACCAGCUGGCUGCAACUGUUUAUUAAAAACACAGCACUGUGCAAACACGAAAGUGGACGUAUACGGUGUGACGCCUGCCCGGUGCCGGAAGGUUAAUUGAUGGGGUCAGCGCAAGCGAAGCUCCUGAUCGAAGCCCCGGUAAACGGCGGCCGUAACUAUAACGGUCCUAAGGUAGCGAAAUUCCUUGUCGGGUAAGUUCCGACCUGCACGAAUGGCGUAAUGAUGGCCAGGCUGUCUCCACCCGAGACUCAGUGAAAUUGAACUCGCUGUGAAGAUGCAGUGUACCCGCGGCAAGACGGAAAGACCCCGUGAACCUUUACUAUAGCUUGACACUGAACAUUGAGCCUUGAUGUGUAGGAUAGGUGGGAGGCUUUGAAGUGUGGACGCCAGUCUGCAUGGAGCCGACCUUGAAAUACCACCCUUUAAUGUUU
RNAcentral lists this ribosomal RNA (1007 nucleotides) under Salmonella enterica. RNAcentral's name for it is "partial 23S ribosomal RNA". It matches the Rfam family "Bacterial large subunit ribosomal RNA", at positions 1226 to 2215 of the family's 2925-position model. Lineage: Bacteria; Pseudomonadati; Pseudomonadota; Gammaproteobacteria; Enterobacterales; Enterobacteriaceae. The record is from RNAcentral.